Molecule: long non-coding RNA, 1597 nt
Organism: Mercenaria mercenaria
Lineage: Eukaryota; Metazoa; Mollusca; Bivalvia; Venerida; Veneridae
Exons: 3
Source: RefSeq, a predicted model, not a curated record
GCCUUUUGAUAUACUGCUGUUCAAUGUAUACACAUGUGUUAACACACAGAGAUACAGCUUAUCUGAUCAAGAUAAGGACCAAUGAAAAUACAGGCUUCUGAACCGUUUUACACCUGUACAGCAAAAAAUAAUCCCCAUCUUUCUGCUUGCUUUUUUUUUCUCUGAGAUCUUUGCAAAUGCUGUGAGCAAAUAAAUGGUCAAAUUUUCCCAUGAACUGUAUACUUAUAUAUUUUAAGAACAUAGAUAUUCCCUUCAGUAACUAUAUAUUGUACCAAAGAAAAUGGCUCAUGAAUACAAAAAUUUGAAUGUAAACAGGAAGUUCGUUGUUCAUGUUGUUGGAGGUUAAUGGAAUAAAGCUAACUUGAAACUCUAAAAUGCUUUUAGAGAGAUAUCAGAUGAAACAGUACGUGUGCAUAUAUGUAUGAAUUGAUGUAGUUGGAGAAAUCAGAACGCUUCAGUGCAUGACUAUGCUACAGGAUGAUACAAGAUCCCAGACAGAAAUUCGAUCAAGGAUCAAACAUAAAUUACAUAAUACUUCAACUAAAUUAAAUGAAUGGCUGGAAUGAAGUUCCUGACCCUUGUGAUGUUUUGGAAAAGCAAAGAGACAUUCUGAUGCCACCUUGUAUUGAGCCUGCAAUACUCCAAAAUGAUUUUGUUGUAUUCAUAAUUUUCUAUCAAAUAAUCUUUUAGUUUAAUUUUAAAAUUUAAGUUAAGUGAAUUUUUAUUAUUCUUAACCACAAGUGUAAAAGCCGCUGGCAGAUGUGUUAUUCCCCUUUGAAUUUUAUUCUUUUUGUUUUUUAUGAAACCCAGAUCUGUCUCAACAUUAGAUUAAAAUAAUUUUGUAAUGAUACUAUUUCUUCUUUUUUUGUUUUGUGUCAAUAUCAGCAAUGUUUUCCAAUGGUUUUCCAUCAAACCUUUCCAAACUUUUGCAAAGAAUUCUUCUAAAAAAUUCCUUCAACUUUAAUGCGAUGAAUUCCAAUGUUCAAAGAGUUCCAUGGAAUUCCAACUGCAUUUUCACAGGGCUGCUCCCAUGGGUAUGUGAGUUUAAAUUUAAAUUAAUUUUCAGACUUUUUUUUUCAUGCCGUUUUUCCAAACUUUUCCAUGGAACAUGUACAGACGGGUGUUUUUGUGACAUAAACACUUUCUAGUUUUAGUUUAUGUUUGGGAUCAUGCAAGAUAUCUGGACAGUUUUUUUUUAAUUCAAAAUCAAGAAUAUAUUUAAUUCGGCAAAACAAACAUUUUGGUUAUCUUACAGUAUUUGUUCAUUGCUGUGAAAUUGAUAAUUGCAUGCAUUUAAAUAACUUUUUACAUUAUUCUUUUGAUCAUAAAUAUAUGUAUAAAAAUGUAUAUAUUGAUUUGUCAAUAGUGUUUCAUUAAUGUGUUCUUACGAAAACUUAGAUAAAAGGCAAUUGAUGAUAUACCUUUUAUUUAUGUUUUGAUAAAAGGUCUCUCUGCCUUUUAUUCAUAUUUUGUUUCCUAUAUUUUAUUUGCAGUUUGUUUCUCAUAUAUAAUGAAUGUGAAUGCCUUUUGUUAGUAUUUUGUUACUACCUUUUAUUCAUGUUUUGUUUCUUUGAAACAAAAUAUUAAUAAAAGGUCU